Molecule: ribosomal RNA, 253 nt
Filed under: uncultured bacterium
Lineage: Bacteria
Description: partial 16S ribosomal RNA
Rfam family: Bacterial small subunit ribosomal RNA
Source: RNAcentral
UACGUAGGUGGCAAGCGUUGUCCGGAUUUACUGGGCGUAAAGGGCGCGUAGGUGGAUAUUUAAGUGGGAUGUGAAAUACUCGGGCUUAACCUGGGUGCUGCAUUCCAAACUGGAUAUCUAGAGUGCAGGAGAGGAAAGGAGAAUUCCUAGUGUAGCGGUGAAAUGCGUAGAGAUUAGGAAGAAUACCAGUGGCGAAGGCGCCUUUCUGGACUGUAACUGACACUGAGGCUCGAAAGCGUGGGGAGCAAACAGG